Molecule: ribosomal RNA, 1499 nt
Filed under: uncultured bacterium
Lineage: Bacteria
Description: 16S ribosomal RNA
Rfam family: Bacterial small subunit ribosomal RNA
Source: RNAcentral
AGAGUUUGAUCCUGGCUCAGAUUGAACGCUGGCGGCAGGCCUAACACAUGCAAGUCGAGCGGUAGAGAGAAGCUUGCUUCUCUUGAGAGCGGCGGACGGGUGAGUAAUGCCUAGGAAUCUGCCUGGUAGUGGGGGAUAACGUUCGGAAACGGACGCUAAUACCGCAUACGUCCUACGGGAGAAAGCAGGGGACCUUCGGGCCUUGCGCUAUCAGAUGAGCCUAGGUCGGAUUAGCUAGUUGGUGAGGUAAUGGCUCACCAAGGCGACGAUCCGUAACUGGUCUGAGAGGAUGAUCAGUCACACUGGAACUGAGACACGGUCCAGACUCCUACGGGAGGCAGCAGUGGGGAAUAUUGGACAAUGGGCGAAAGCCUGAUCCAGCCAUGCCGCGUGUGUGAAGAAGGUCUUCGGAUUGUAAAGCACUUUAAGUUGGGAGGAAGGGUUGUAGAUUAAUACUCUGCAAUUUUGACGUUACCGACAGAAUAAGCACCGGCUAACUCUGUGCCAGCAGCCGCGGUAAUACAGAGGGUGCAAGCGUUAAUCGGAAUUACUGGGCGUAAAGCGCGCGUAGGUGGUUUGUUAAGUUGGAUGUGAAAUCCCCGGGCUCAACCUGGGAACUGCAUUCAAAACUGACUGACUAGAGUAUGGUAGAGGGUGGUGGAAUUUCCUGUGUAGCGGUGAAAUGCGUAGAUAUAGGAAGGAACACCAGUGGCGAAGGCGACCACCUGGACUAAUACUGACACUGAGGUGCGAAAGCGUGGGGGAGCAAACAGGAUUAGAUACCCUGGUAGUCCACGCCGUAAACGAUGUCAACUAGCCGUUGGAAGCCUUGAGCUUUUAGUGGCGCAGCUAACGCAUUAAGUUGACCGCCUGGGGAGUACGGCCGCAAGGUUAAAACUCAAAUGAAUUGACGGGGGCCCGCACAAGCGGUGGAGCAUGUGGUUUAAUUCGAAGCAACGCGAAGAACCUUACCAGGCCUUGACAUCCAAUGAACUUUCUAGAGAUAGAUUGGUGCCUUCGGGAACAUUGAGACAGGUGCUGCAUGGCUGUCGUCAGCUCGUGUCGUGAGAUGUUGGGUUAAGUCCCGUAACGAGCGCAACCCUUGUCCUUAGUUACCAGCACGUUAUGGUGGGCACUCUAAGGAGACUGCCGGUGACAAACCGGAGGAAGGUGGGGAUGACGUCAAGUCAUCAUGGCCCUUACGGCCUGGGCUACACACGUGCUACAAUGGUCGGUACAGAGGGUUGCCAAGCCGCGAGGUGGAGCUAAUCCCAUAAAACCGAUCGUAGUCCGGAUCGCAGUCUGCAACUCGACUGCGUGAAGUCGGAAUCGCUAGUAAUCGCGAAUCAGAAUGUCGCGGUGAAUACGUUCCCGGGCCUUGUACACACCGCCCGUCACACCAUGGGAGUGGGUUGCACCAGAAGUAGCUAGUCUAACCUUCGGGAGGACGGUUACCACGGUGUGAUUCAUGACUGGGGUGAAGUCGUAACAAGGUAACC